UUCUGAUUCACGGCACUCACCACUUUAUAUUAAAUAAGCUGUAUGUCCCUCUAUCUCCUAGCAACCAGGAGCUUCUCCAGGGUGGGGAGAAGGCUUUUCCUCGUAGCACUCAGCUCAGGGCUGGCUUCUGGCUUUACACUCACCCUGGUUUGUAACUACCCAUUUCUUUGUGGGAUCAUUUGCUUAAUGCCAUUCUCCCCCACCAUGCCGAAGGCCCACGAAGACGGAGUAUAGGGAACCUACCCAGUAAGGUGACCAACCUUCCCGGUUUGCCUUUGUCCCCCGGGGUGUUUCCUGGGACAGGGACUGCCUGUGCUAAAACCAGGAAAAUGCCCAGCAAAUCAAGACAGCGGCCACCCCUACCAGGGCUUGGCAUAGAAGAAGCCUUCGAGCACCAUUUGUCCCUGACAUUCAAGACAUAUAUAUUGAAAUGAACUGUAGAGCAGCCCAGCCAAAGGCAUACUCUUUCAUUCUGCAUUUCUUCACACCGACUGUGCCCGGUAACCAGCUUGUCAGAAGCGGGGGAUUCAGGAAAGAGUGUCCCAGCAGCCAGGACUGGAAAUCUUUGCUCCUUGCAGAGAUCCAGCAACCCAAACCAUGCCACGAGGCUGUCCUCCCGGGAGACGUCACCCCUGUCCAACCAGUAGGUGAGAGGACAUCCGUGCACAGCCAGGAGCCCUUUUCGGAAGAGGCUUCACAGACUUUGAGGACCUGGUGAUCCUCUGAGAAGAACAUUUCUCUGAUUCACCUCCCUCGAUUCAGAGAGAAGGACUGUUCCUAAAACGACCGAGUAAGUGAGAAGCCGAGGGUGGGCGGCUCCCUCCUUAGCUUUUCUCAAUAAAGAACUGAAUCACGGAAAAGGGGGCCCCUUGCUCCUCCUGGCAGACAGGAGAAAGUUCUAGAAGGUGAACACACAACGAAAUAAAAACAUUAAAUCAAGAG
This 942-nucleotide long non-coding RNA is filed under the name Mustela putorius furo (domestic ferret). Its description in RNAcentral is "lncRNA (ENSMPUG00000027235.1)". The record is from RNAcentral. Lineage: Eukaryota; Metazoa; Chordata; Mammalia; Carnivora; Mustelidae.